This 1958-nucleotide small RNA is filed under the name Vigna angularis var. angularis. Its description in RNAcentral is "Non-protein coding transcript". Lineage: Eukaryota; Viridiplantae; Streptophyta; Magnoliopsida; Fabales; Fabaceae. The record is from RNAcentral.
CUGAGGGUUUAUACCCAAAAGAUAUUUUUGUGGUUCGCAAUUAAGAAAAUGGACGAAGGCAGUGAAGUUAGGGAAGAAUCACUCAAAUUCUUAAGUGGCAGCAGCAGACAUACAUGGAAGAGGAAAGAGUUUUGAACCAUAUCAGCCAACAGCAAAAUGAAAACAUGAAUUGGUGAAAAAAGAAAAGAGACAAAGGAAAUCCCGCGCCAGAGGAUAUCCCAGAGGGUACAACAGAAAGGAGGGGGCUUUGGCUUUGAAAAGGGGACAAUCACAUUGGAGACGGGGGAUCACUGAUCACCACCACUUAUAGAGCGAGAGACCUCGGACCAGAGAAAAAAAGAAGGAGAAGAAGCGACUGUUGGUGAACCUAGCUGCCCAGUCAACUUCACUUCACGGCGCCUGCAAGAUCAUUUUGGUUACUAAAGGAGAAGUUCAGUCGAGGAGAGAAAAGGGAAUUAAAGCCCAAAAGAAAAGGCAUCUUGAAGCUGCGAAGUUUCUGUGCCUGCAAAUUUCAUCUAUUUAACUACCAAUAGAAGAUAGGCAUACAUUUCCCUAACAUCAACACUUCGUAUCCCUUUAGCACCCAGGAAACCCGUAAAUAAAAAGCAAACAGCAGCAGCAAAUAUAGCUCUCGUACCAUCUCCUACCUCUAUCAAAUGCAAACCAAAUCACAGAUCCCAUGCCAGUACACUCAAAGCAUUCACCUCCUCAGAAUUUCUUCACAUUACAGGAGCCUGUCAUUCCCCAACUUACAUCCUCAUUCUCCUAAUCUCUGCCCACGGUAACAAUGGAGACUCCAACCUUUGUCUCCUUCCCUCGCCAGCCGCCAUCAACCGUUUGGAUUCUCCACACUGCGCUCAACCGUAACCGCCUCAACAAACAUAACCCAUCAUCCAAUACACCUGUCAUCGUUCAAAAUCACCAUUGAUGCCCCCAUUCAUUCGUCGGAUACCCCUUUCACCAUCCAGAUUCACCCAUUGCCACAGCCAUCUUGACAGAUUUCAUUCACCAUCUCCUUCAUCAUGCACAUAACCGGAACCCACUAUUCCCUCAACCUACACCGUUAACCGCAAAAACAAAAUCCUCCUCCAUUCACUCGGAUAUCACCAUCAACCAGGAUUCAAAGAAAAAUUUGAACGCAGAGACGAAAGGGGUAGAGGUGGGUUUGGUCGUAGCGGUGGAGGACGUCAACGCGAGGACCGGCGGCGACCUUGGUCGUGACCUGUGACACUGGUGGUGCUCUGGUUCGAGGCAGCCGUGAUCGUUCAAACAGCGAUUGACGGAGAAGCGUGAGAGAUUCUCUAACGCGGGAAGAAGAGAAGGAAAGGAGGGUCUGGCGCCGUGACCGGCAACGACUCCGGCGGCGAGCUGCAUCGCUGGCGCGGAGAGGCGAGAGCUUCUCUCCGCGCGCGAAGAAGCGAAAAAAAGAAAAAGGAGAAGAGGGGCUUGGCGCGGCAACCAGUGGGGUCUGUGGCGGCGAUCGGCGCACUGGUGGUGUCCUGGUCUUGCGGUUGGCGGCGGCCGGUUUGGCGGAGGCGGUGGCGCGUGUGCGCGAACGGGCGGAGGUCCACUUUUAGCUGCCUCGUUUGGGAGAGAGGCCCUAGUCUCUAGGCUUUCUGAAUGUUGGAGUGAGGAGAAGAGUGGCAGAACCCCUAACCCCUAAUGCUUCUGCUUGAAAAAAACUCCUGGGCCCGGUCCAAAUAAUAAAAAAAAACAAAAACCCGAUUCUUUUCUUUCCUACGCGCAUCCCCCGUUUCUCACCCGCACACUCUCCAUCCUUUCCCUUGGUCUCGGCUCAGGCCCGUUCUAUUCUUAAAAAAACACAAAUACCAAUUUCUUCCCUGCGCCCCCUUAUUCUCAUUUUCGCACCCCUCUCCGCCUGGGCUUUGGCCCAGUUCGUUUUUUUAAUUGUUUAGGCACCCCAGUUUCUUAUUUAGCACCUCCGCACCCUUUUUUUU